GAGGAGAUUAAGAGGGAGACGAGGGAAGUGCGACGAGCUUGGUGGCUGACGUUGCUGCGGCCGGGGAGGACAGAGGGGGGCGUGCUUCUAUGGCCGGAACUUGCCUCGGCAGCGGCGGCGACUAUCUCUCAAAGAGGGAGAGAUCGCGAAGUGAGAGAGAGAUUUGGGGAGGAGAUGAGACGUAGCGAGGGUGGGCGGCAGCGGCGCGACGCAGCGCGACAAGGGUGGGCGGCGACGGGCUGGCUCGGGGCAGCGGCGCCGGCGGCGGAGUCGAGAGGGGAGAGAGAGAGUCGAGAGAACUAGGGCUUCUAGUUUGGGAGGAGGGGUUAAUUUCUAAAUUUCCUAAAUUUUUUUCUUUUUUUCACUUUUAAUAUUCAAUUUUUGGUAUUUAGAUUUCUAAUUUAGAUUUUUAAUUUACAUUUUAUAUAAGUGUUGAUAAAAUAAAAAAAUGUUAUGAAUUUUUAUUUUUCAAAGUCUAUAUCUAGGAAUAAAUUCAAAUUUUAGGAUAAAUAAUUUAUUUGUUAUUUUUUAAU
This 533-nucleotide long non-coding RNA is filed under the name Salvia miltiorrhiza (redroot sage). RNAcentral describes it as "long non-coding RNA (SMIL_LNC003077)". Lineage: Eukaryota; Viridiplantae; Streptophyta; Magnoliopsida; Lamiales; Lamiaceae. The record is from RNAcentral.